Molecule: long non-coding RNA, 874 nt
Filed under: Mytilus galloprovincialis (Mediterranean mussel)
Lineage: Eukaryota; Metazoa; Mollusca; Bivalvia; Mytilida; Mytilidae
Source: RNAcentral
AUUUGAAUAUAUAUAGUAGUUCUUUCGUGUAUUUUCUGUAAAAAAGUUAUAUUUUUGUUAAUAAAAUUUUGACUUUAUAUAAAAGUUAACCAAAUCCUUCGGAUAAGAGGUUUUUCCGGAUAAUGACUAUAGUUGACAUUGUGUGAAAAUACAUUGUAUGUCAAUGUUUAACCUCAGAGCAAUUAAUAUGCAUGCAAGUGGUCGGGGGAAAAGUACUAUUGAAGUUUCGCAGAGAUUUGGUGUGUGACAAGGUGAUGCUAAAACCAACUUCUCUUGAUAUUCUGCUUUCCGUGGGCGAAUCAUCAGUGAUGUUAUGAGACUUGCACCAGAAGGCAAACUUGGUGUGCAUCUUUAAAUUAGAUUGAUUGAUUGAUUGUUGGUUGCUUAACGUCCAGUGGCAAAUAUUUCAUGCAUGUUCAGGAUGAGAACAAGUUAACAAUAAAAACAAUAGGUAGGUUUUGUCAUAAUAGAGGCCAUUCGGGAUGAUGAUCGGGAAAAUUUAGACUGCCAAUGGAAAAUGAUGGUAUAUUGGAUUGGGACAGAAAUUGUCCAUUGCAACAUGCCACCUACGGACCCUCAAAGAGUUGAUGCAAGGGUUUUUAACGUGCAAAGAACGUGACACUCCCUUUACACGAGGCAUCGGAUUUAACGUCCCCAUUCUGACCGGACGUGACUGCGAACUUGAUACAUCCCGCACAGCCAAACGGACGCCCCACUUCGUUUUACUGCCGGUCGGGGGAAGACCAAGUGACCAUAUUUCGUUUCCCCAGUCACCCUUGGGGAACUUUAAAUUAGAAACAACAGAAAUCCAUAUAUGUGAUCAAACUAAUCGACAUGUAUCCUCACAACCUGACACUUUUAUACGAUCUCGCGC